UACGUAGGUGGCGAGCGUUAUCCGGAAUCAUUGGGCGUAAAGGGUACGCAGGCGGAUAAGCAAGUUAGAAGUGAAAGCCUAUAGCUCAACUAUAGUAAGCUUUUAAAACUGCUAAUCUUGAGGUAUGGAAGGGAAAGUGGAAUUCCUAGUGUAGCGGUGAAAUGCGCAGAUAUUAGGAGGAAUACCGGUGGCGAAGGCGACUUUCUGGGCAUAAACUGACGCUGAGGUACGAAAGCGUGGGUAGCAAACAGG
Molecule: ribosomal RNA, 252 nt
Filed under: uncultured bacterium
Lineage: Bacteria
Description: partial 16S ribosomal RNA
Rfam family: Bacterial small subunit ribosomal RNA
Source: RNAcentral